CAGCAGCCGCGGUAAUACGUAGGGUGCAGGCGUUAAUCGGAAUUACUGGGCGUAAAGCGUGCGCAGGCGGUUUGCUAAGACAGGUGUGAAAUCCCCGGGCUUAACCUGGGAACGGCGCUUGUAACUGGCAAGCUGGAGUGUGGCAGAGGGGGGUGGAAUUCCACGUGUAGCAGUGAAAUGCGUAGAGAUGUGGAGGGACACCGAUGGCGAAGGCAGCCCCCUGGGCUAACACUGACGCUCAUGCACGAAAGCGUGGGGAGCAAACAGGAUUAGAUACCCUGGUAGUCCACGCCCUAAACUAUGUCAACUGGUUGUCGGGGAAGCAAUUCCUUGGUAACGAAGCUAACGCGUGAAGUUGACCGCCUGGGGAGUACGGCCGCAAGGUUAAAACUCAAAGGAAUUGACGG
Molecule: ribosomal RNA, 407 nt
Filed under: uncultured bacterium
Lineage: Bacteria
Description: bacterial SSU rRNA
Rfam family: Bacterial small subunit ribosomal RNA
Source: RNAcentral